This 262-nucleotide long non-coding RNA is filed under the name Lathyrus oleraceus (garden pea). RNAcentral's name for it is "Pisum sativum (pea) long non-coding RNA (PSAT_LNC006966)". The record is from RNAcentral. Lineage: Eukaryota; Viridiplantae; Streptophyta; Magnoliopsida; Fabales; Fabaceae.
UUUUGUCAAACUUUGUUUGACCUUGUUGAACUUGGGAUAAUUCACUUGGACUUUUCAAAGUUGAUUUGAAGUGAGUUUGAAGUUUGACCUCUUUAUUAUUUUAAUUCAAGUUUUAUUUUAAUAUUAAAAAAUGCCAAAAAUAUUUUAUUUGUUUAUUGACUUCCAAUCUUCAUUUUGCUUAUGUUUUCUAUUGUUUGACCUUGAUCUUCUUUAUCUUUGGUCAAUGCUUGUUGAUGAUCUUAUUCCAUUUCUAUUAAUGCAC